RNAcentral lists this unclassified non-coding RNA (113 nucleotides) under Cloacibacterium normanense. RNAcentral's name for it is "Flavo-1 RNA". Lineage: Bacteria; Pseudomonadati; Bacteroidota; Flavobacteriia; Flavobacteriales; Weeksellaceae. The record is from RNAcentral.
UAUUAGCCCUGAUUAAGCGAUAUGUUUGAGCUCUUUUUGUUUUUUCAGAUGUUUCCACUCUGAUCAAUAUGAUAAAAAAAACAAAAAAGCGAGUCGCGAAAGCAGGACUAAAA